GUUUAAGGGACAAAGAGAAAAAGAGUGCAUCCACUUUAAUUCUCCAUUCAGGACAGCAGUACGAGGAAACAGAAACUUCAGACCAGGAUGCCCUCACUGUGGAUGGGAUCCCACUGUGAGUGCAAGGUAAAGGAGAGGAGAAGAAGCAGAAGAAAUUCAUCCAGCUGAUGGAUAUUUUAUGCUCUGAGUGCAUUAUAAUGAACCAGUCACUACCUAGGCCAGUGGGGUGGCCAACAGGCGUUUUUCAAGCUUUUUUAAGGUGACCAUCCAUAGGUACUGCUGUUGAACAUGCACUGAAAAUAUAUAUUUAUUUAUUGAUAAACUUCAUAUGGUAAUACUGCUACCCAAAAAAAGGCUUAUUCAGGAUCACAUACAUAGUUGGCAUCUGUGUUUAUGGUUCUCUGUUUCUUGCAAUAAUGUGCAUUAAAUUUAUCAAUAUCUUAACACUGGGUCAGAAGAAAUAGAUAUUUGGAUGGGAAAUUGUUAUAUAACACUUUAGCUUGAAGAGAUUUUUCCAGAUGUGAGAUGCUGGUAACUCACCAUAAUUAAAUGGGAAGUCUAUGA
Cyanistes caeruleus (blue tit) is the source of this 564-nucleotide long non-coding RNA. RefSeq lists it as uncharacterized. NCBI's taxonomy places the organism in Eukaryota, Metazoa, Chordata, Aves, Passeriformes, Paridae. The record is from RefSeq and is a predicted model, not a curated record.